RNAcentral lists this ribosomal RNA (480 nucleotides) under Weissella confusa. RNAcentral's name for it is "bacterial SSU rRNA". It matches the Rfam family "Bacterial small subunit ribosomal RNA", at positions 62 to 527 of the family's 1533-position model. The record is from RNAcentral. Lineage: Bacteria; Bacillati; Bacillota; Bacilli; Lactobacillales; Lactobacillaceae.
GCUUGCUCAGAUAUGACGAUGGACAUUGCAAAGAGUGGCGAACGGGUGAGUAACACGUGGGAAACCUACCUCUUAGCAGGGGAUAACAUUUGGAAACAGAUGCUAAUACCGUAUAACAAUGACAACCGCAUGGUUGUUAUUUAAAAGAUGGUUCUGCUAUCACUAAGAGAUGGUCCCGCGGUGCAUUAGCUAGUUGGUAAGGUAAUGGCUUACCAAGGCGAUGAUGCAUAGCCGAGUUGAGAGACUGAUCGGCCACAAUGGGACUGAGACACGGCCCAUACUCCUACGGGAGGCAGCAGUAGGGAAUCUUCCACAAUGGGCGAAAGCCUGAUGGAGCAACGCCGCGUGUGUGAUGAAGGGUUUCGGCUCGUAAAACACUGUUGUAAGAGAAGAAUGACAUUGAGAGUAACUGUUCAAUGUGUGACGGUAUCUUACCAGAAAGGAACGGCUAAAUACGUGCCAGCAGCCCGCGGNUUUUCA